This 172-nucleotide microRNA precursor is filed under the name Medicago truncatula (barrel medic). RNAcentral's name for it is "MIR2619 microRNA precursor family". It matches the Rfam family "MIR2619 microRNA precursor family". The record is from Rfam by way of RNAcentral. Lineage: Eukaryota; Viridiplantae; Streptophyta; Magnoliopsida; Fabales; Fabaceae.
AAACAGACCCCUAUGUUUUGCAACUUUAGCAGUUUUGGCCCCCCAAUGCCAAUUUUUUUUUUAAAAAAAUGACACGUGGCACCUCACUUAGGGUGCCACGUCAGCGUUGACCGAGUCAAAAUCGGCCUUGGGGGCCAAAACUAGUACAGUUGCAAAACAUAGGGGUCUGUUU